This 600-nucleotide long non-coding RNA is filed under the name Homo sapiens (human). RNAcentral describes it as "HSALNT0009105". Lineage: Eukaryota; Metazoa; Chordata; Mammalia; Primates; Hominidae. The record is from RNAcentral.
AGGUGAAAUAAUUCGAACGUCUCCCUGGUGUUCCUUCUCCCUAACCCAUCUAUUUCAAGGUUAAAGAGUCAUGGACUGGAACCAGGAAAGUUUCAACCAGGAGAAUCAAGUUACAACUCUGAGAUUAAGAUCAUAAGUGGUUGAGUUAUUGGGAGGUCAAAAUCAUAGCACAGCAACAACUCAUCAGUAUCCGGGAUUAACAAAGACAUAGACACAAAUCUUGACGAACACUUCAGCCCUGCCUCCAGAAUGAAAGGGGGAAACCUAGACCUGAAUGGGCUUGACCAUCUCACAGCUGCUCACGUGAUGACCAUAUUCGUGGCAGGUAAAAAGAUUGCUGUAUCAACUCAAGAAAGCAGUAGCCUCACUGUCUUUGUAUUUUGAAUUGCAACAACAACUUUGAUAUCAACAAUGAAGCAAUGGUAUCUAAGAACAAAAGAGCAUUUGCCAAAAGUCAUCAUAAUAUCAAGUGAUUGUAUAAGCAGAAACAAGCUGUCACAGACCUGUGUGUCAGCUAACAUAAGGAGAAUGCUUUCUUCUGAUGCUAUUUAUUUACAGGCAGUUUUAAUAUAUAUCACUUCAAUUAUAUCUACAUCAAAU